RNAcentral lists this ribosomal RNA (552 nucleotides) under Triticum aestivum (bread wheat). Its description in RNAcentral is "partial small subunit ribosomal RNA". The record is from RNAcentral. Lineage: Eukaryota; Viridiplantae; Streptophyta; Magnoliopsida; Poales; Poaceae.
AUGGCCGAGGCGCACCACCACCAGCAUCACCACAACGAUAGCUACAUCAAGCCCCCCAAGCAUGAUUUCCCGCGUUUCGACGGCAGUGCGUCGUACCUCUGGCUCGACCGCUGUCGGGCGUACUUCGAACUCUAUCAUGUGCCGCCGUCGAGCUGGGUGACCAUGGUGACACUAUAUAUCAACGGAGAAGCGGCUCACUGGCUACAGGCGUUUCACCAAACACAUGGUGGCCUCGCUUGGGAGGCGUUCUGUGCAGCGAUUACUGAAGAAUUUGGCGUCGAUGAGUUUGAGAUGGAGAUGAACAAACUGCUGCAACUCCGUCAAAGCGGCAUCGUCAGCGAGUACCGCAAGGAAUUCGACACCCACAUGUAUCAUCUGCUGGCGCUCGAUCCGUCGCUCAAUAUCAAAUUCUUCAUCACCAAGUUCGUGUUGGGACUCAAGGACGAGUUACGCGCUGCGGUCCGGCUUCAGGCACCCAACAGCAUAACGCGCGCCUCGAUUCUGGCACGAAUCCAAGAGGAGGAACUCAGCAUGCCCAGGGCGCGCCCAUGA